This 446-nucleotide ribosomal RNA is filed under the name uncultured bacterium. RNAcentral's name for it is "partial 16S ribosomal RNA". It matches the Rfam family "Bacterial small subunit ribosomal RNA", at positions 338 to 795 of the family's 1533-position model. The record is from RNAcentral.
CCUACGGGUGGCUGCAGUCGAGAAUCAUUCACAAUGGGGGAAACCCUGAUGGUGCGACGCCGCGUGGGGGAAUGAAGGUCUUCGGAUUGUAAACCCCUGUUAUGUGGGAGCAAAUUAAAAAGAUAGUACCACAAGAGGAAGAGACGGCUAACUCUGUGCCAGCAGCCGCGGUAAUACAGAGGACUCAAGCGUUGUUCGGAAUCACUGGGCGUAAAGCGUGCGUAGGCGGUUUCGUAAGUCGGGUGUGAAAGGCGCGGGCUCAACCCGUGGAGUGCACAUGAUACUGGGAGUCUAGAGUAGAGGAGAGGGAACCGGAAUUCGCGGUGUAGCAGUGAAAUGCGUAGAUAUCGAGAAGAACACUCGUGGCGAAGGCGGGUUCCUGGACAUUAACUGACGCUGAGGCACGAAGGCCAGGGGAGCGAAAGGGAUUAGAUACCCUUGUAGUC